Molecule: non-coding RNA, 135 nt
Organism: Triticum aestivum (bread wheat)
Lineage: Eukaryota; Viridiplantae; Streptophyta; Magnoliopsida; Poales; Poaceae
Source: Rfam
GUUGUACUCUCUUCCCCCGAUAAUACUUUUCAUCAAAAUGUAUAAAAAGGGAUGUAUCUAGAACUAAAAUACGUCUAGAUACAUCCCCUUUUAUUCAUCUUGAUGACAAGUAUUUCCGGACGGAGAGAGUACUAC